UACGGAGGAUGCGAGCGUUAUCCGGAUUUAUUGGGUUUAAAGGGUGCGUAGGCGGGAUGCCAAGUCAGCGGUAAAAAUGCGGUGCUCAACGCCGUCGAGCCGUUGAAACUGGCGUUCUUGAGUGGGCGAGAAGUAUGCGGAAUGCGUGGUGUAGCGGUGAAAUGCAUAGAUAUCACGCAGAACUCCGAUUGCGAAGGCAGCAUACCGGCGCCCUACUGACGCUGAGGCACGAAAGCGUGGGGAUCGAACAGG
This 252-nucleotide ribosomal RNA is filed under the name uncultured bacterium. Its description in RNAcentral is "partial 16S ribosomal RNA". It matches the Rfam family "Bacterial small subunit ribosomal RNA", at positions 524 to 776 of the family's 1533-position model. The record is from RNAcentral.